Molecule: ribosomal RNA, 440 nt
Filed under: uncultured bacterium
Lineage: Bacteria
Description: partial 16S ribosomal RNA
Rfam family: Bacterial small subunit ribosomal RNA
Source: RNAcentral
CCUACGGGUGGCAGCAGUGGGGGAUAUUGCACAAUGGGGGAAACCCUGAUGCAGCGACGCCGCGUGUGGGAAGACGGUCUUCUGGAUUGUAAACCACUGUCCCCAGGGACGAAAAUGACGGUACCUGGGGAGGCAGCUCCGGCUAACUACGUGCCAGCAGCCGCGGUAAUCCGUAGGGAGCAAGCGUUGUCCGGAUUUACUGGGUGAAAAGGGAGCGGAGGAGGGGAUGGAAGUUGGGUGUCAAAACUACCGGCUCAACCGAUAGUCGCACUCAAAACUGCAACUCUUGAGUGAAGUAGAGGCAGGCGGAAUUCCUAGUGUAGCGGUGAAAUGCGUAGAUAUUAGGAGGAACACCAGUGGCGAAGGCGGCCUGCUGGGCUUUUACUGACGCUGAGGCUCGAAAGUGUGGGGAGCAAACAGGAUUAGAUACCCUUGUAGUC